GGGUAGUCCUAGCCACAAACGAUGCAGACUAGGUGUUUCUUGAACUUCGAGUUCAAGAGAUGCUGAAGGGAAACCAUUAAGUCUGCCGCCUGGGGAGUACGGUCGCAAGGCUGAAACUUAAAGGAAUUGGCGGGGGAGCACCACAAGGGGUGGAGUCUGCGGUUCAAUUGGAUACAACGCCGGGAAACUUACCAGGGACGACGGCAUAAUGACGGUCAGUCUGAAGGGCUUACUUGAAGAGCCGAGAGGUAGUGCAUGGCCGUCGUCAGCUCGUACCGUGAGGCGUGCGGUUAAGUCCGCUAACGAGCGAGACCUGUGCCUUUAUUUGCUACCCUUUUCGAUGGAAGAGGGGCACUAUAGAGGGACCGCUGGCGAUAAACCAGAGGAAGGUGCAGUCGACGAUAGGUCAGUAUGCUCCAAAUUUCCUGGGCUACACGUGGACUACAAUGGGUAUGGGACAAUGAGUUGCGACUCCGAAGGGGAGAAGCUAACCCCCUAAACAUACCUCAGUUCGGAUCGAGGGUUGAAACCCACC
Molecule: ribosomal RNA, 535 nt
Filed under: uncultured prokaryote
Description: bacterial SSU rRNA
Rfam family: Archaeal small subunit ribosomal RNA
Source: RNAcentral